Molecule: ribosomal RNA, 820 nt
Filed under: uncultured organism
Description: bacterial SSU rRNA
Rfam family: Bacterial small subunit ribosomal RNA
Source: RNAcentral
GCCAGCAGCCGCGGUAAUACGUAGGGACCGAGCGUUGUUCGGAAUUAUUGGGCGUAAAGGGUAUGUAGGCGGUCUAUUAAGUUAGAUGUGAAAAAUCUGGGCUCAACCGAGAUCUUGCGUCUAAUACUGAUAGGCUAGAGUCUCUGAGAGGAAGGCGGAAUUCCUGGUGUAGGGGUGAAAUCUAUAGAUAUCAGGAAGAACACCGGUUGCGAAGGCGGCCUUCUGGCAGAGGACUGACGCUGAGGUACGAAAGUUAGGGUAGCAAACAGGAUUAGAGACCCUGGUAGUCCUAACCGUAAACGUUGUAUACUAGGUGGUUGAAGUAUUGAUCCUUUGACUGCCGCAGCAAACGCAUUAAGUAUACCGCCUGGGGAGUAUGCCGGCAACGGUGAAACUCAAAGGAAUUGACGGGGCCCCGCACAGGCAGUGGAGCAUGUUGCUUAAUUCGAUGAUACGCGAGUAACCUUACCAGGUCUUGACAUAUACCUGUCUGGUGUAGAAAUACAUCAUUGCUUCGGCACGGGUAUACAGGUGCUGCAUGGUUGUCGUCAGCUCGUGCCGUGAGGUGUUGGGUUAAGUCCCGCAACGAGCGCAACCCUUAUUCUUUGUUGCUAACAGGUUAAGCUGAGCACUCUAAGGAGACUGCCGGUGACAAACCGGAGGAAGGUGGGGACGACGUCAAAUCAUCACGGCCCUUAUGACCUGGGCUGCAAACGUGCUACAAUGGGUGGUACAAAGAGUUGCGAGACCGCGAGGUGGAGCUAAUCUCAAAAAACUAUCCUCAGUUCGGAUUGGAGUCUGAAACCCGACUCUAUGAAGU